CCAAGCCUCAGUUAUUGCCCGAUUGGAAAUUAAAGGGAAUGAGCAGGAGUACUCUAAUUCACAAUUCUCCCGGAAGUGCAAAGAACAGCCAUUGCGCGGAUUUCAUUAGAGAUCUUGAACAUUCUCACGGAAUUGCUAUGUUUACACGAUUAAACAUUUACACGAUUAACAUUUCAAUUUUGUCUAAAAAAGAUUACUCCUUUCAUUGCUUUAAUCCUAAGGCAUAGAAAAGAAUUGUUUUACUGUGCUGCCUUCGAUCAUGCGCCAUUGUAUCUCCUCCUACGAUGUGUCACUGCACACAACACAACUGUUGCCACUUUUUUUUUCUUUUGAGUCAGCCGUGAUCAAAAUUUGUCCGUGAUCAUUAGCAUUUCACUGUACUAUUUAUUUUGUGCUUUUGGUUUUGUGGAGAGUAAACCAAGUGCGCCUCAGCGCUGCGUUGGUACUCAUGCCGAGUCACGUAAGCACUUGACGACGUUUACACCUUGUUUUCUCUCAUCUACAACUGAAAAACAAUACAUUCUUGAACUAGUAAAACAAUGGCCUGUUAGACAUGUAAAUAUCCUCUCGUAGCGUUAAGUGUAGUUCAAGUUUGAGUAAAAUAAAUACAGUCGCCGCUCCUCCAAAUAUUGCGCAGAAAUGAAAUAACAUGAGUUCUGACAUCAGUUAAGCGUUUAGUGUGCGUUGUUAACAAGAGUAAAUAUAACCGAAAAGUUGAAAGCUCCAUCUGGAGGCCGCACAUUCAAAAAAUAAAGAGUGUUCGUAAUUCUGUCGUCCAAUCAUGCAUGACAACAUUUCAAUCUAAAGCCACCAAUCACAGACCAGAAAUCGGACGCUUAGUGUAGUUUGGCCGCUAUUUGUACUAAGCAAGUUUUGACUUGAGAGUUUACGCUUUCUUAAUACAUGAAAAUGCGUGUACUUAUGCCCCGCUGUCAGCGGAAUUCGUGUAGAGCGAUUAGCUUAUCGCCUAGAACUGAAUGUUGUACAUGACCUUUGAUAGAAGGUCUUACUUUCCCCGUGACGGUUCAUUAUAAUAAGAAAACUGAAGAAGAUUAUUUGACUGCCGCAUACAACAAAAUCUGCAAGAUACACAGACAGCUUCCUGACGGAGAAAUACUCGUCUUCCUCACAGGUCAACAGGAAGUUAAUUUGUUGUGCCGCAAGCUGCGCGCAACCUUCCCAGCCACCAGCCUGCCGGACACUGAGCAGUGAGCAACCUUACGAUAGAGACGCCACCGAAUACAGAAAACGUUUGAACAAUCUGAAAAAGCAACGCUCAGCUAAGAAAGAACUGCUUUUGAAACAAGCUGCCGAAAAAGAAGCAGAAGCUGAGAAUGCUGCUCUGCUCACCAAGAAACUUCUCGAGGUCAACGUGCACGAAUUCGCUGCUGCAGCUUCGGUGUUUCCAGACAACGAAAAUAAAGCCAACGAAGGCGACGAUAUUGAGGACGGCGAUGUUACUGAAACAUCCAAGUCGAAUGAAGAACAAAACCGAGAAGAAGUUCCGUCCGACGAUGACUUUGAUUUGGGCGAGAACGCUGACGAAGAUAAGCUUGGCGACGAUGAGAAGAAGGGCGUGGGCAACGAGCAGCCACUGCACGUGUUGCCUCUCUACUCACUCCUGCCUGCUGAUCGUCAGAAG
Molecule: long non-coding RNA, 1642 nt
Organism: Hyalella azteca
Lineage: Eukaryota; Metazoa; Arthropoda; Malacostraca; Amphipoda; Hyalellidae
Exons: 5
Source: RefSeq, a predicted model, not a curated record